Molecule: long non-coding RNA, 865 nt
Organism: Phyllostomus discolor (pale spear-nosed bat)
Lineage: Eukaryota; Metazoa; Chordata; Mammalia; Chiroptera; Phyllostomidae
Exons: 2
Source: RefSeq, a predicted model, not a curated record
GUGCUAUAUUUAUAUAUGUUGAUAGAGAAACUAAAAUACACCUGCUAAAGUUGGGCAAAUAAGAGACAGACACCAAUGGCCAUGUGUUUUUAAAAAGAUGCAGGAAAGCAUAUAUUUUUGAAGGAGUACACACUAUCCCUACAUAUUAAAUAUGUUUUAAGCAAAGUGUGUGCUUUGAAAGAACUGAGGCCACUAUUAUAAAAAAAAUAUCUGGACAGCUUCACUUAUUUGUACUACCUAUCAGGACAUUUUUUGGUAACCUCUAUUUUUAUUUGCUACCUCUAUUUAUGAAAUAACUAUUUUGAACCAUUGAUAUUUCAAUAAGGCAGUGAUUUGAAACAUUAACUGCAUAUUGAAUCUUUCUACAAAACCACUCUAUGUGGGAAGGAUAUAAAAUGUGAGCUCUCAGGUUAGGUUUACAAGUUUUAAAAAGCUAGUGUUGCCCUGCUUUCUUUCUUCCUUUAGGCCACCUGUUCUUCACAGCUACAUCUUUUUUAUAAUCGGGAUUUACUUUACAUGUAGACCAGAAUUGUGUUUUCUGUGUGGAAAUUUCUUUAUGCAAUUAUAGCUCAUUCCUGCCUAGGAUGUUUCUUUGCAAUUUUCUGUAACUGCAAGGAGAACAUCUGAGAAAGGUGAUUCAUGUACACUAAAUUUUCCCAGUCUGCCUUGCAAGAUGAUAAUCUAAUCCUCUUGUGGAGUUUAACAGUCACCAUUAAUAAAAAGGAUGCUUGACCAUCACACAUAAACAUAUUGUUUUAAGUGCAUAGUAUUUCAAGCAAAAAUGCAAGAGAGAAAUGCCCUUGCUUUGCUCCUUGCUAACUAUUACCAUACGCUUAUUUGGCUGGUUGUAGUUUGGAAUGUGGGG